This 80-nucleotide transfer RNA is filed under the name Aequorivita ciconiae. Its description in RNAcentral is "Aequorivita sp. H23M31 tRNA-OTHER". It matches the Rfam family "tRNA". From Rfam's summary of the family: Transfer RNA (tRNA) molecules are approximately 80 nucleotides in length. Their secondary structure includes four short double-helical elements and three loops (D, anti-codon, and T loops). Further hydrogen bonds mediate the characteristic L-shaped molecular structure. tRNAs have two regions of fundamental functional importance: the anti-codon, which is responsible for specific mRNA codon recognition, and the 3' end, to which the tRNAs corresponding amino acid is attached (by aminoacyl-tRNA synthetases). tRNAs cope with the degeneracy of the genetic code in two manners: having more than one tRNA (with a specific anti-codon) for a particular amino acid; and 'wobble' base-pairing, i.e. permitting non-standard base-pairing at the 3rd anti-codon position. Lineage: Bacteria; Pseudomonadati; Bacteroidota; Flavobacteriia; Flavobacteriales; Flavobacteriaceae. The record is from RNAcentral.
ACGCGAUUAGCUCAACUGGUCCAGAGCAUCCCGAACUUGCUUCGGGAGGGUCGGGGGUUCGAACCCCUCAUCGCCCACCA